GACGAACGCUGGCGGCGUGCCUAACACAUGCAAGUCGAACGGGGUGAGGCCCUUCGGGACCUUUACCUAGUGGCGAACGGGUGAGUAACGCGUGAGGAACCUGCCUUUCAGUGGGGGACAACAGUUGGAAACGACUGCUAAUACCGCAUGAAGCUUUUGGGAGACAUCUCCUGAAAGCCAAAGCUUAAUGUGCUGAAAGAUGGCCUCGCGUCUGAUUAGCUAGUUGGUGGGGUAACGGCCCACCAAGGCGACGAUCAGUAGCCGGUCUGAGAGGAUGAACGGCCACAUUGGGACUGAGAUACGGCCCAGACUCCUACGGGAGGCAGCAGUGGGGAAUAUUGGGCAAUGGGCGAAAGCCUGACCCAGCAACGCCGCGUGAAGGAAGAAGGCCUUCGGGUUGUAAACUUCUU
RNAcentral lists this ribosomal RNA (410 nucleotides) under uncultured bacterium. RNAcentral describes it as "bacterial SSU rRNA". It matches the Rfam family "Bacterial small subunit ribosomal RNA", at positions 28 to 435 of the family's 1533-position model. The record is from RNAcentral.